UUAAUUUGUCAGCAGAUGAUUAAUGGAUGUUUAAUAUAUGAUUGUUUUAUUUUAAUAAAAAUAAUUUAUGUUUUAGUAGGUUUUAUUGAAAAAAUUAUUAAUAUUGUUAGUGUAUAGUACCGUGAGGGAAGUUUUAGUUAUUGUGUUUUAAGUAAUUAUGAUUUAAUGUACCUUUUGUAUCAGGGUUAAUUAAAUAUUUAAUAUUGAGUAUAUAUUUCCCGAAAGUGAAGGAGAUAUGAUUAUAUGGAAUAUAACGUAUUAAAGUUAUUUUUAAUGUAAUUAUAGUAAUGAAAUGUUAUUCGUCUUUAAAUAUCUGGUUUUUUCAGAGUUGAAUUUAAUUCAGAAUUUCUUUCGAGGGAAGUUAUUUGUAUUAUUUUCUUGAGGAAGUUUAGUAUCUUUGGGGAUAAGCUUGAAGAUAAUUUUAUAAUUUUAUUUAAGGUAAGGUUUCGUAGGCUUGAAAUUAGCCGUCAUUAAUUCUGUUAUAAGAGAGCCUUGUUGGUAUUUUAUUUUGUAUUUUAUUUAAAUUUUUAUGAAAAUUAUGGAGUUAAUUAUGUAAUUUAUGUAAUAAUGAUUAAAUUAGUAUUUUUAUAAAUAAGUUAUAGGAACUCGGCAAUUCAAGUGUUCGCCUGUUUAACAAAAACAUGUCCUUUUGUGUUUAUUUAAGGUUUGACCUGCCCAAUGAGGAGUUUAAUGGCCGCGGUAUUUUAACUGUGCUAAGGUAGCAUAAUCACUUGUCUUUUAAUUGGAGGCUAGAAUGAAUGGUUGGACGAGGCACUUACUUUCUUUAGCUUAUAGUAUGAAUUUAAUUUUUUAGUUAAAAAGCUAAAAUUUAUUUAAGGGACGAGAAGACCCUAUAGAUCUUUAUAUUUGUUAAGAUUAAAUAUUUUAGUUGUUAAUUUAAUUUGAUUUUAUUUUUUAUUGAGUUGGGGCGACUUUAGAAUUUCAUUAACUUCUUUUUUAAUAUUCAUGAAUUAGUGUGUAAAUGAUCCAAAGUAUUUUGAUUAUAAGUUUAAGUUACCUUAGGGAUAACAGCGUAAUUCUUUCGGAGAGUUCAUAUCGAUGAUGGAGUUUGCGACCUCGAUGUUGGAUUAAAAUAAGUAAUGGAUGUAGCAGUUCAUUUACUAGGUCUGUUCGACCUUUAAAGUUUUACAUGAUCUGAGUUCAGACCGGCGUAAGCCAGGUCAGUUUCUAUCUUUAAAAAGAUAUUAUGUUCUAGUACGAAAGGACCGAAUAUAAGGAAUAUUUUUUGUUUAUUGAGUAAAAAUUU
Molecule: ribosomal RNA, 1267 nt
Filed under: Tapeinus singularis
Lineage: Eukaryota; Metazoa; Arthropoda; Insecta; Hemiptera; Reduviidae
Description: 16S ribosomal RNA
Rfam family: Bacterial large subunit ribosomal RNA (bases 810-1202)
Source: RNAcentral